CGCGCACGCCACGCGCGCACGGACGGACGGAGACGGCGCGAGACGCAGCGCGAGCGGAGCCGCCAGGGCGCGCGAGACGGGAACCGCCGCCGCCGGGGCCGCCCAGCCCUGCCGAGGAGAGACAGGCGGGGCCGCCCCUCCCGCCGCGCGCGCGGCUCCCUUCCCCCCUCCCCCGCCCUUCCCCGCGCCGGAUGCCGCCGCAGGGGGGCCGCCCCGCGCCGGGCCCCAACCGGCCGAGCCCGGCCCGGUCCGGCGCGGCAAACGGGACGCGCCGAGCCUUCUCCCAGUCCCGGCCCUCACCCCCUCGCCCCCUCCCCGCGCGGCCUCCCCCCCCCCCCACCCCCCUCUUCCCGGCGCGGUGCGGCCCAUCCCCCCGGGCCGUGCCCCGGAUGCAGCCGCUCGGCCCGGCUCGGCCCCGGGGGUUUGCCAGGCGGUCGAGCAGCGGCCCCUCGCCCCGCCGGCGCGCGGCCGGGCCCUCGCACACAAUGCGGCCCGGGCCCGACGGACCGCGCCGCGCCCCCGCCCGCUCCUCCGCUUCGCCUCAGCGCGGGCCCGGCCGUCCCGGUACGCGGGGCCGGGCACACGUGCGGGCGGUCCACGCGCGGCGCCGCGGGCGCUGCUCACCUGGGGGCGCGGGCCGCCGAGGCGCCUGGUGCCGCGCGCGCCGCCGCCGUCUCCGCGCCCAGCAGCAGCAGCAACAACGGAGUCAGCGCGGCGGCGGCGGCGGCGGCUUUUCCUGUCCGGUUACGUUAGGGUCACAUGACCGAGAGCGGAGCACAGAGGCUGCAGCGAGGAGCCCCCGCCGGGGGGGAGGGGAGGCGGCGAGCGCUGUGGCGGCGGCGCCGGCGCCAGCAGCCGCCACCCACCCCCCCCCCCCUCUCCGCUCCUCCCUCCCUCCCUCCGCCCGCGCCGCCGGGCAACGGCCCCGCCGCUGGGGGCUGCCGGUGCGCGGGGCCGGGUUCGCGGCCCCUUUAAAACUCCCGGGGGGGAGCGCAGCGCGGAGGGGCGGGGGGCGGUGCGGUCCCCCGCCACCCCGCUCUGCUCGCUGCCGGGCGGGGGCGGCUCCGCGCUGUGGCGCGGCCUCAACGGCCUUAACGGCCGCGAGAAGCGGCAGCCACAGGUGCGUCCCGUGGGGCCGCGGCCUUCCUUGCGCGCCUCGCAGCGGGCCCGUUCUGCGGGAGGUGGCGGGCCGGGCCGAGGCCUCGUCGCCUUGACGCCCGCGAUGCGCCGUGCUGCGCUGCGGAGCCCGGGCGGCAGCGGGCGGUGCUGAGGCCGGGUCCCUGCGGGCCGCGGCGUGCGGCGGAGCCCCGCUCGGGGCCGGGUGCGGGGCUGGCGGGGCAGCGUGCCGCUUGGAAGCUCGGUGGGAGGCGUUUGGCCAGCAGCGGAGCGUUAGUUUUUAAUUAUUUUCACUUCUUAGGUCGUUCAACCGUUUCAGCGUAGUUAAAGGCAGCACACGCGAGGCACCUGCCUGACCUGUGAGUGCUGGCUGUGGCUGGGCUGCUGUCUUCACGGUCGUUGCAUCCGAUGUGCUGUGCGGAGGAAAAGUGACCAGUGCCAAACCUUUCGGGGUAGUGCCCUGACAGCAAGUGAGCUGAGGGCAGGGUGGGAGCGGGGUCUGCUCCGCGUUGGUCUGCUCUGUAGUUCAACAGGGGACUGCAGCCAGCCGGGGCUGCUGCUUGUCUUAGGGGGUCUGAAUCAAUCACGGGCUGGAAGAGUUCUAUGUGAGUGUGACUGCUGGCUGCACUGGAACUAAUGGAAGGCCAGAUAGCUAUAGCUGGAGUCUGCUUGCAGCAGGCAGCUCAGAGAUAUCGGCUUAUUUAUCCAGCAAUGCCUGAAAAAGAAACAAUUAAUUAAGUCCUAAAAACAAAUGGCAAAACUUAAUUUUCUUGGAGCCGAAAGCUGUCAAAGUUUGCUGCUGUUGUGAUACUUUGAAUGAGGAAGCUGGACAACACUGCAUCUUCUCUGAACUUGCCUUGAGUAUCCUUGCUGUGCAGCACUGCAAGAAAUACGCGUGUAGCAGCCCUCACAGCAAUGCGAUAGAAGCUUAUAGACUGUAUUUAACCAGCAGAAUGAAAGGCUUUUAGUCUGCCUGGCAGAUUUUUCCCCCUUGACAUUGCUUCUGCAAGCGAAAUGCAAAGUAAAGAGAGUAGCUGGAUGUUGGAACUUGUGUUGCUUGGUAGUGAACAGAGUUUGUUCUCACAGAAUGUGGUGAGAGAUGCAGUUUUCACUUGAAUUCGAAUGGGCUCCUUGGGAAGGUGAGCGUGUUUCUGGCAGGUGCCUAUUGGAUGGUUUUGCUCUGUGGCCUGCUUUUUCUCUUUUGUUGCACUUGGAUAAUUCUGUGUCAGCAGUCCUGUGAGAUUCUCCUCUGUGCUUUCUCUGAAACUGGAGGAGAAUGAACUGUUAUUGCUUAUUAUUGAUAACUCCAGCUUUAAAGAACCCGGUUUGCUCGGCAGUUCUGUAAUUCACCAAUAAUGUGGCUCUUUAAUUUAUAAGUACUGUCUGAUUCAGAGCCCAUUGGGAUCGGUGGGAAGAUUUCUGUGCUGUUUAGUGCCACCUAACUUUACAUCCUCAGUGCUGAUUUACACCUGAGGGGCACCAGCUGUCACUGGGAAGCCAACGAGUCCACUGUUGCAUUUUUUUGUGACAUUCGGCUCAAAGUGUGAAUCUAAAAUUUUACUUCUGUCCAAUCUUUUGUGGUAUUUUUUAAACUUACCAUCAGUACAACAGAAAUUGUAAUUGAAAAUGAUCUUUUUCUCUUCAAGUUGUAUCAUCGUUCUUCUGGAUGGUGACUUUUUUUCUCCAGUUUCUUGAGGUACUUUUUCAGGAUUUAUUUCCUAAUCUUUCCAAGUUUUUGAAAGGAGAGUUCAAAGUGCUUCAGAUGUUGCUAUGAACUUGAGAGCACUCUUGGUUGUGUUGCUGUUAAUGAUAGGAUCAGUCUCUGGGUUUUUGGUUUCUUUGCUCUCCGUGUCCCUAGAUAAAGGCAGAAUUUUGACUAGUAGGACUGCAUUUUGCAUUGUAAAUAAGCAUAGCACCAAUGUUUUCAGUGUUAAUAAGAUGACAAAGAUCAAUACCUUCAUAGAUAUGAGUCAGGUUCAAACUUCGGAUUAUGACAAGUGAGUCUUGUAGUGUUUUUUAAAAAUGGAAGAGUAGAGUCUUCUAGGAGUGACUUGCUUAUUCCUUGCUCUAGCAGUGCAUGUCUACUCCUGCAGGACUGUUUCUGGAACUGCUGAAGCUUCUGGGAGCUGGAAGUGCGUGUCCCGGUCCUGGGCACUGUUUCCAUGGUGGUACAACUGUGGAGUAAUGUUUAUUAACAAUACUGCAAGUCCAUUUUAUUAGCACAGCUGCUACUUAAAGCACAUCAACAUCUUUAUUGUUAGUGGGUGUAGUGGAAAUGCUAAAUCACAGCUUCAAGCAGUGAUUGAGCACCUGGUGAGAAGGCAGGGCCAAGCCAGGGGAGCUCAGGUGCAUGCAAUGCACCUGAAGUGACUGGAAGGAGUAGAGCCAAGAUCCACCUCUUCCCAGACUUCAUUUAAGGGUUGGUAGUGCAGGCAAGCAUAUCCCCUCUGGAGAUCCUGGCUUACCCAAGGGUCUUAUAGGCCUUCUUAAGCAGUGAGCGGUUUAUUUCUCUUAUUUCUGGGCCUACUGCUAUCACAUAUAACCAGAUUCUCACUCGCUGUGGCUUAAGACUUUGCUGUUCUGCCAUCUUGUUAUGCUUUCUAACAUGUUAUAGGGGGAAGUGCAACAGCACCAGUAACUUCUUGCUUAAUAAAUAUAAUUCCUCUGAUAGCGUCUGAUCUUCUUAUCCAGGAAUAUCUUCCUCAUUAUAAUUUGCCAUUCCAUCAGUCAAACCUUACUGGUGUAUCUCUGCAUUGGGAGUACAAACCAAGAAGUGGUCCCAGGAGAUGCUCUUGCAUAGGGGUGCAGCAGCAGAUGAGGAACGGCUCUGCAUUUUCUCUUGUCUUGGUUUCCCUGGCAUAGGGACCUCCUGGUGGAUGUGCUUGUGAUAGGUGAGCGGUCAACCCCUAAGCUGUCAUGUUGAUAGCGGGUCUCAGUUUCCUAGAGGCAAAGGAAAACUGUUGUGUAGGCCUUUCAUUUUUGGUGAACACUGUAUAUGUGGAAAGAAGGAAGAAGUAGAAUAGAGUAGCUGUCCUUCUGGUAUCAUGAGUUAGUUAAGAAUGUGGAAGCAUAUUGUUUUUACACCUAGCGAACAAAGCUUUGCCUACAGCAUCAGGGUAGCUGCAAAUGACACCAGCAAAACAACCCCCAAACAAAACAGAACAAAAAAUCCCAAAUAUUUUUGCUAAUAGAACGUCUGUCAUCAAAGGAAGUGGUUUAACUGCAUGUAGAAAAAUAUUUUUGCUAGGAGUCUCUUUUCCAUCAGGAGUUGUAGUGUCACUUAACUGACACAGCUUCUGCAGUGCAGAUUGCCCCUCUUUGUUCUGCCUUUGCCUUCAUCCCAGAUUAGCCUGGUAGAGCCGCCCUGCCUGCUUUCAACUGGAAGAGCUGAAACGUGACUGCGCUCUUAGCUGGGGAGACGUUUGUAGUGGAGCAGGAUGAUAGUUACAUGCGUAUGUGUACUUGUAUAUUUUACUGUCCUAGGGGAAAAAAUUAAAGCUGCAACUGUACGGAGUGCGUUUUUGAGGCUGAGGUGUUCUGUAGAAAAUGACGCAUCUGAGUGAACAGCAUUGGUGCUAUGUUCACAUCACCAUUUAAUGCUGUCUAUGUGGUGACUUUAAGCUUAUGAGAUACUUAAUAGUUGUGAAGAAAUUGUGUUGGCCAGUCUUGUGAUUUAAGCUUAGGAGGUUGUCAAAAAGUAUUUGGGGGACAGCGACUAGCACAGUUUGGUAUUCCUGUUUCACCAGUCUGGAAAAUGUAUUUUUUGUGUUGCUGGAGCUGGAAGACUUGACAUAAAUAGCAGUAAUAAGGAGAACUGGUGAUACUAGAUGCAAACACAAUGCCUUCAACAACUCAAAGUAGACUUAAGGAAAAAAAGGUCUCCUUUUUUUCUUUGCUUAAGAAUCUGAAAUGGGUUGGUCACCGUGCUGUGUGUGAGGAGAGAGGGCUGGUUGCUCUGUUUUCCAGGUGGCACCAGGUCAAUUCAGUUACUGCUCUCUCAUACGCUUUAGAGGACUCCAAAGCGCUGCAAUCACAUAGUUUUCUGAGUUUCUGAGACCCAGCCUCCUGGAUUUUAGGUGUAGUACAGAAUACACGUGUUGUUAAGAAAUCAUUGUGGGGAUCAGGAGAAAUGGGCUGUCUUGUACCAUGCAUAGUUAUGGCACAAUAAUUUUUGAAGGCUAUCAGAGAUCUUUGCCUUCCUUCUCAUUGUAAAGAAUUACAAUCUCUUUUUUUUUCCUCAGCUGGUCUUAUGUACUUCUCAAGACACAUUCUUUUCCCCUGGGCCACGGGCUUGAUUUUUAAAUCCCUGCACAUUAUUUAUUGUAUCCAAGUACCUCAAGUUCCAUACAUUUUUUUGGUAGUUGUCAGGCCAUCAUCAAGCAGUCUGUGGACUAGGAUCCCAAGACGCUUGACAGAUGCUUAAUGCCAUCCAGGGAAGAAAGGCUCUACCUCACAGGUCAGUAAUUUCCAACCUAAAGUCUUUCCUUGUCUUGAGGGUCUGGGAAAGGUGACUGGUAAAAACAAGAGGUACACCACUUGCUUUUACAAUUUCUGAAUCAAUCUACAUGUGAAGUGUCCAAAAUUGGAAAAGAUUUUUCACAAAGUUGUUUCUAUAGGGGUCACUCAUCUCUUGUUCUCUGGUAGGCACCCUGUGCUUUAGAAGGCAACUUUGUGACUUAGCUAUGAGUAAAACUCAUUUAGGUGGACAGAUAGUAUCUGACUCAUCUCUUCACUGUUGGGCUGAACCUUGUCCUGUUCCUAGGGUUAGCUUAGAAUGGAGAAAGGAAGAGAAUCUUUGUUUCAGGUGGUAGAUGCUUGAAGCUAGCAAGAAUGUCAUCCUCCUCUAAGCUCUUAUGUGCCAUCUGGACUGAGUGUAAGUUAUCCUUGCUGGGAUCUUGGGAAAGGUGUCAUUUGCAUGAAGUUUUUUGUAUACGGAGCUGGCAUGCUGACAAAACAAUUGACUGUGGCCAGUACAGAGGUUCCCUGCAAAAACUCUGCUGGAAGUCAGGAGUCCUGUUAGCUUUCUUUGCUGCUGUAGAAGUGGCUUGUCUUCUGACAUCUCUUUCUAGUGGAUCCACCAAAGAAAAUAAUUAUCUACAAGUUGUCCUUCAUGUCAUCUGACAGAAGCUGUCAGCACUGUUGGGAUCUCUAUAAAAGAUGGUCUAAUUUGAAUGACAUUUGUCAUUAUAAAGUUGCAGUUCUAAGAGCUGUUGAUACACCAGGCUUGUUCUGUUUUUUUCUCACAUUCUGUAUUUACUACUAUUGCACUCUUCCUUAGAUGAUCCUCAUGGGCUAGAAUAGACCCAUUUUGGAGUUUAACUGAACUGUGCAAAUUGUAGUGAAGAAAGUUCUUUGCAGUUCAACUAGGAAGGUGUGUAGGGGAUGAGACAAAUAAGAUGGAUAUGUUUUUAGAGUCACAGUGGUUUUUUGCUUCUAGAACUGGAUUUAAUCUUGUCUCUGCCACAGAACUCCCUGCUAAUUGGGUCAUGCAGUAAACUUGCACAGGACCUCUGUCAGCUGCCCAGCUUGAAGCAGGGCUGAAGAUUGCAGAUGGGAGAAAUGUGCUAAUUCUGCCCCACGUAGGGGGUUGCUGUGCUAUCAUAUUUUGCUGCGAAAGCUCAAGUUAAGUUCUUGGUGCGUUUGUAUUCCUGGCUUGGUCUGGGGUCUCUGUGUAUAAUGUAGUGAAGAUAUUCUCACACUGUCAGACUGUACAGUUCAAUUAAAAACAAACCCACAGCCCUCGCUUGAGAUGCAGCUGCCAAUGGAAACACGAUUGAAGCAGAUUGAUACAAAAUUUUAAUAUGCAGUUACAGCUUAACUGCAUAAGUAACACUGAAUAGUCACUCAAUAUAGCAAAGGGGGUUGGAAUCUUGGAGAAGACUUGGAUUUCACAACCUUCAUCAUCUGUGCAGACAGAAACUGAUGUAAAGUUGCAAAACUAACCAUGCUUCUGUUGUUUUAGUGUGUUUGACUUGCUAACUCUUAAGCACCAUCUUAAGACAGAACACCUGAGAUAUUCAAACCUAGAUGCUUCAUGCAUUUAAAGAGCCUCUUGGAGUCCUCAAAUGCCUUUGUUAAAAGCUCUUUUGUUGAUGGAUGCAUUUGGCCUGCAGGGUUACAUUUUAGCAGCUUAAGCUGAAAUACUGAAACUAUUAAAUGUGUGAGAUGAAUGGGAACAUAGUAUCUCAGCCUCAGGUGUUACGCUUAAAUUGGGGAGGAGGGGAAGCCUGUUUUGUGUGUUAAGAAAAAAAAAGUUUGCUAGAAUAAUGACAGUUAAAUUUUAACUUAAUUCUCUGUUAGAGUAGUUACGUAGGAAAAACCAAGCACCACUUAAUGGAUCUAAUGUACUACUUCUCUAAACCUAUGUAAGAGAUAAGCACCGAGGAGCUGUUCUGCAGUUACUAGUAAGCUUUGGCACCAAGCUGUUGUGCUGACUGAUUCACUCCUGUGAAUGGGGCUGACAGCUCAGACCUUCUCAGCAGCUCACAGAACUGGUAGUUGAGCUAUUUCCAGAACCGAGAUCUCCAGGUAUUACCUGUUUUGAUUCUCUGAGGAGAAAAGCCUACUGUUAAAGAGGAGUUAGUGCUUCUUACAAUGGACAGACUUGUAGUCAGUCACAUGUUUUUCCUAGCUCUGCCCAAUUCUAUUCUCAUUAGAACAAAUAGCAGUGUUGUAAGAAGCUUAUUUCCUGAAAACGAGUCGUCUUCAGGACAGUAUCACUUCUAUCCAAGAAGGAGCUGGGGAAGACUGGGGAAUCAUCAGAAAUGUAGGAAGUGGUUAAAUAAUCAGCAUCUCUUUAACUGUCAAGGGGCUGAGGCACGAGAAUCUGUCAGCAAAUUAACAAGGUCAGCCCAGAAGGGGUCCAUCCUUCUGUCUCUGUUCAGUAAGGAGGAAAAUGCUAGCGCUCUGUAUCCAGCCUAAUGACUGGCAGGAUUCCCCUACAACUGCAUCAUUUGUACCUCAGCUUCACACUAGCACAUCCAUAGGAUAAGACUUCUUUAAUAUCACUGUUACAGCAGUUGGUAUAAUGUUCACAAUUUCUUUAUUUGAGUAGAGUAUGUACAUAUUUAUCAAGAGAGACAAUUCCACUGUUUUCCAGAAGCAUGUGAGACAGGAAUUUUCUUGGCCAUGUGGUCACGAUGGUUUUGUUGGUUUCCUUCCACAGUUUAUUCUGAUGUCAGAGCACUACCCUUGCGAGUUCAAACAUAACCUGUGAAAUAGCAAACACAUCAUUAAACCAAUGAACAAUUCUUAUCAAUCUUUAAAACAGCUUAGACUGUAAGCCAGAAAAUAACUACAGCUGCAGCUCAAAAGCUACUUGCAAAGAACUGAAGACUAAUCCCCUUAUCCGUUACAUGAAUAAGCUAAUCUCGAUUUUUCAAAUUGAGGUAUAUAAACUGCACUUAUUAUUACAUUCUUCAAUGUGAUAGUGGGGGAAAAAACCCACCACAACCAACCUCUAUGGUGAUGAGUAUUACUAUCAUCCACUCGAGGCGCAGAGCAUGCUUUUCAUUCAGGUGGUUUCGCAUUAGGUCUGUCAACUCCAUGCAGUGCUGAAGCUUUUCAUUCAUUACCUGCAACAGAUUUCAAACACAGGGCAAAGCUGGGUUCUCCACAUUGUGUGAGAUCACUACAGAAACAAUCCAUAAAGGGGCUCACUGCAGAAAGCUGUUAACAUUUCUGUGAAAGUGCAGGAUGCAAAGUCUUGUGAUGUAGCGUGCACAAGCAAUGGGAGUUCUAAUACAACUCUCAGUUCAAAGAGUCAUAAAAAUAAAUACAAAUUUAGAUAUGCAUAUGAAGGUAUUAAACAGCUACUGGGUGACAUUUAGUCACAAAACAGUGCAAGCAAAUAACAUGCAGCUUACGGGAAUGCCUCAAAAGUAACUAAAUAAGUAUGUAAGGUUGCUGUACCACUGGAAGAGGUAUCUCAUGCUUAUUCUGGUAGAGCAGUAAGCAUUACAUUGCCCUGCAAUGGACUGACCUGGAUGAUCAUGUCAUCAGUAAGAAGACUGCUUCACAUCACAUUUUUUUUUAAACUUGUUUUCUUGCACACAUUUCAGAAAAAGAAUUAAAGCUCCUCUUCUUACAACUAUUUAAAGCCUAAGUUAGUGGCUCAGGAAGUACACAAUCCAUUUAAGUCUAGGUGGUUGAGGCAGGGCUGUUAACCUAAACUGGGUAGAAGAUGUGAGUGGGUUACGAAUACAGAAAGGGGGAUGGUGUAUAGGAGCCUAUCGGUCUUUGACUCUUAUAAAAGAAAAACAGACAUCCGUGGAACCUGGCUGAGCCAAUGACAGCUGAAUGGAGUAUGGAAAAUUGUUACAACAGUAAGACACCUACCUUAACUCUGCGAUUAAUGUUGAGAAAUUGGCAUGUUUUGUCAUAAAGCUCUUCCAGUUUUUCUCUGUCCCAGUAGAAGUCAGGUGUUAUUAGCAGGUCUGAACUCAGAUUUAUGCGGUGUCUAAAAAGAAUGGUUACUGCAGUAGUUCAAAGUUCCUUCUGGUGCAUAUAGGAGCAAAUAUUUACAUAGUAAUUAAAAUAAAAAUUACAAAGUUUUUCUUGUUAAGUAAAAUAUAAGAAUCUCAUUCAUAAUAAAAACACACAUGUAGUCACUGUUUAGAACUAGUAAUAUCUCCUGAAACUUUUCCAAGAAUACUGUAAUAUGCACACUUUAUGCAUUAAUUGCUUUUGCCUUACGGCAACAUUACCUCCUUAACUUGUCACUUUCCUUGACUUCUCCUAGCUGUACAGAAGUCCUUCACUAUGCUGGUAGCUCAUUGAAGCUGAUCAAAUAUGUGAAUUAAAGUUAUGGGGGAGGUCCUUAACAGCUUGUUUCUAUUUGAGAACUCUUAAGUGUUACUGGCAGUGCUCACUGGGGAUGGGAGCACAGUUCAGAACCAGGCUACUGUCUCAACAUUAUAAAGGCUAGGAGAUAAAGUCUUCUGUCUCUCAACCUACUGAUCACGUAAAUCUUUGAACUUUUGAUCAUUGUAGCUCAUUUACUGAAAGGUCCUCCAAGCACGGGUAUAAAACUCAAUGUUUAAAAUAGGAACCAUGUUUUCAUUUAUCUCUUUCUUCACUGAUUCUGCAAGGUUUCUAUUAAAAAAAAAAAAAAAAAAAAAAGUCUGUAGUAAUUGCAACUUUUCACUUGAGAGAGAUAAAAUGUAAUCCUGGCAAUGUAGUAUUUGUUUCCAGUGAGUCUAGGGGAAGAACAGAACUUGCAGAUGAUGUCCAAUCACUGAAAAGCUUUUCUAACUUUCAGCCAUAGUUCACAAUUCUGCCAAUCCCUGUGCUUCCUCCCGGUAUCCUUUUGCAUGCUGUAGUACGUACUGUAACUGCAUUCCUGAACCCAGAGAAGGAAAAGGGUGUGGAAUCAGUCCAUUUACAGAAUGCUGCUUAACACAUGUCUACAGUUGAGGUACUGAGCAGUGAGUCAGUGGGAAACAGUCCUCUGACCACCACAACAGCACACACUGCCAUGAGCCAGAAGGUGUCUGAGGGAAUCCCCCCACUACUACACUGUGUUUAGGCCAGACUGAACUGCUCCGAAGCUUCUAGUGUACUUCUGGUGUCUUUGUAUCAUGCACAACUUGAUUUUUAAUUUUUGUAUGAUGAUACCUUCAGUGUAACAAAAAAUGUUACCUUAAUGCAAAAAGUUCUCCGAUUUUCUGCAUGACAUCUGCGUGAGAUAGUUUUACCUUCCUUCUUGAUUUUAGUAUCUGCAAAGUAACAAGUUUUACCUGCCUGAUCAAAUAGCAUAUACUAGUGGUUAAGAAGUCUGAAGUUGUACAGCCUGAAGUAUAUAUAAGUUAAAAUCUAAACACGUAUCAGAUUUAAUAACACUUAAGUUUGGUUUCCAUAGUGCCUUGCUUAUCUAGCUUGAUAAGAGUACUGUCGUUCAGCUAUUCUCCCAGGUAAGAAUCCUGGAACGCUUUCUGUGAAUCGUUUGUUCUCUCUCAAUACUACUGCUAUUUUUAAGGCAUGACAGUGUUCUUUUUACCUUACUGCUGUUUAGCUUUUCUACAAAUGUCCUCCUCACUUAAAACAAUGUAUUACUAUUUAUUCUCUUCAUUAAAAAUAAAUGAGGAUUUAUCUUUUGAACCCUGUGAAUCUUAUUUGUGUAUGCAACAUGAUACAGACUUCUUAUUUUAAUUACAUCUCAAGAGAAAGCGUAGCUUAAGUGUAACUCAUGAACUCUUAAUUAUAUUGAAGUCACAGUGAGGCCAAGCUGCCACACUAUGCUAUGUUUGGUCAGGCUUUUAAAUGCAGUUUUCCCCAUGCUGUGCCCCAGCCCUUUACAGGCUGCCGGUUUCGUGUCCCAGCCCUUUAAAGAUGUUCUGAACUUUCUAUCUUGAUGGAUUUACAAUCAAAUGUGUUAAGUAUCCAGUUGCUUUUUGCUAUAUCCUCGGCUGUAUCUAGACUGAUAGAGAUUUUACAAAGCACAGGAGAAAAUGAGGAGAAAGGUACAAACAAGACCUCACCUCAGGAAUUGACUGGAUAGAUUCCACAAAGUUAUCCAAUAACGACUCCCAAAUAGCCAGUUUUACUGCAACACAGAGGUGACAAAGCAGAAUGCUGUGAGAGGCAGGUAUGUAUGCUUUCAAGUAAUCAUCUACAUCUGCCAAAAUACAGCACUGUCUCUAGACAUGCUGACACAAACAUAUCUGUAGUGAGUUACCAAUUACACCAUACAACCAAUGUAUUCGUACAUCUACAGACAAAUUUGGGUUGUGUAAUGACACAAAUCUGCCUGCAGAACCACCAUGAGCUCAACUCUCCAGUGGAUCGGUUCAGAUCCUGGAGAAGCUUUGCUUCAGCUUAGGAAGGUGAGUUUGAGUGCUACACUGUGUCUGUGCCUUUGCAAACUCCAUUCCAAGGAGGCAAUGCAGAAGCUUGAAAUACUUUGCAUUGCUGGAGUCAAAUGGACUUCACGUGGUGCCAGUCAAGUUUCCACUGCAUUUCUACAAUGUUGUGCAGAACUUUGGCUCCAUUAGUCCUGUGUUUGAUGAAUCAUGCUCAAGCCAGUGAGAAUUAGCUUGUCUAGUGAUGCCACCACCUGUAUUUGUUGAAGCUAAAUCCAAACUUACACAACUUCCAAUUUUGUUCUUUUGGUGAAUAUAAUGCUAACUUCAACUACAAAAAAAACCCUAUUCUCUGGAAGUUGUUAAUCCCACGUAGUACCAACACAAGUUCUACUGUGUCUCAGCUUGAUCCUUCAAGAUGAUUUCUACAUGGACAUGCAGAAAUCAGGCUGUUUUUCAGUCCUCAGAUUCCCAAGCAAGAAUGAAGUAAUAACAUCUGAUCAGUUCCAAAAAUUACCUCCAUCCACUGAGAGAAAUUAAACAGAAAGAUUUAAUUCUCGAACUCUUUUGUGAUCACAAUCAUACUAGUCAAGAAGCACAAUAAACCCAGUUCUGAGCAUUCUUCGUGUUCAUCUUAUGAGUACAGAGCCCUAAUCCAAGCCAGUGACUUAAACAGCAUUUAAUUUAGCCUUUGAAAACAGACAUUUUAGCCAGCAGUGAUUAUUUGACAGAUGUUGGCUUCUGUUGUGUUGUAAAGUUGACUUUAACUAUACUGCAUCCCUUAACAACACUGAACAUUGCACUGUCUUCCUUUGUGGUGUACAUGUUUCAUAGUAACAUAACUUGGCACCAAGUAUCUCCUGGGAAUAAAUCCCUUGCUCCAUUAUACAUGGCAACACUUUUUCAUGCUGUGGGCUUAACAACAGCAAAAGUAAAGGCUUUUUUCCUUAGUAGCUCUUUCUUCAGCGGUCAAGAACCAUUUAGUUAUUAUGCUGUAUGUCUUGAUCAAGUAGUAUAUCACUUCCAAAACACGCAUUCUGUUUCUUGAUGUCUUCUGUUUAAAGUUAUGUUCCCCCACAUAGUAUAUGAAUCUUGUAAUUUACUCAAAAAGCAGUAGAGGUUUUCCUUUAAAGUCUUCUUGAGGACAGCCUUAUUGCUGCUAGUUUCUGUUCCCACUUACUACCUUGUUCUAGGUCUGAAGAAGCAGAGAUUAUUUCCUCGGGCAGAAGCAUCACUACUGAGCCUGAAUUCUUCUCAGUGCCUCCUGACAUAAAUACCACUAUGGCACACAGCCAUUGCUAACAAUCCUGGAAAACACGGUCUGAGACUCCAGUCCACACACUUGAUGCUGCUAGACUCCCCAAGCUGAAAAUUGGUUUUACAACUCUCUCUGGUUUAGCUGGUAUCGAGUUUUUUUUUCUGUUAAUGAUGUCAUGAUCAAUUAAGAUCACUGACAGCUUUGUAAUACUGGGCUGCACUCUUGACAAUCCUAGAAUAAUCUCCAGUGUGGGCAAUGGGAUGCUUAGUAGAAUGUCUGUCUUUAGCAAAGUAUUUUCUUAAGGAGUUUUGUUCAUCUUUACGAUUUACACAUUGCAAAAAGUAAUUCAAAUUUAAGGAAGACAAAGUAAAAAUGAAUCCUCCCACUGAUGUGCAAUCAAUCUUUAUACAGUUUACCAAAACCAGACACUAAGUCUUCUCCAACCUUUCAAAGUUCCACUCACAAUGGUAUUUCACUAAAUCUAUAGAAUGAGUUGAUAGUACACAAUAGCAUUAACUUACCAGAAAGACAAAGGGCAUUUGAAAAGGCAAAUUUCUGCAGGACGACUUCAUCAGUAUCCAGCUCAGAAUUUAACAAGAUUUCUCCCUUAUGAAGCUUCGAUUGCCCUCUGUAAGAACAAGAUUUAAGCAUCUUCAUUGACUAAGCCAAACAGCAAAGGAACAUUUAAAGAACAAUCAGUGCAAGUAAGAUUGGUUAUAUAAAGAUAAUGGUCUAUCUACAUGGCUAUCACCCUCAUUGUUGCAUUUUACUCAUGUUCAGUACAAAAAUAACCAAAACAGAUAACUGAAAAUAAGUUCCUCAGUCUUAAGACUACGUCGGGUAUCACAAAUUCCACAAGUGGAUAGUUCACGCAGUUUUCAAAUGGCCAGAAAACAAACAAACAAACAAAACCAAAAACCAACCAAACAAAAAAAACCCACACUUGUCCUCUGAAGAAAUUACUUUAACUAAACUCAAGCUCAUUAGCUCAGCUUAUGGUGUUACUGUCUCCUGAGUACAGUUUUUUGGUGUCGUUGGAACAUUGCAGAUAAAUGACAUCACCAACAACAUUGAUAAGUAUCUCCACAGAGAUCAUUUGCUCUCCGUGAUGAAAAAAGUAGUUAAAAGGACAAGAUAGGUGCCAGAUUUAUCAGUACACAUCACUCAAGCUGUAUCUCCCCUAGGAAGUGAAGUAUGUGCAGAACACAACUUUGUAUUUGAACCUAGAGCUUAUGCAGAGAAAUUCUGUGCCUCCUUUAAAAUCCAAGUUGUCUCAAUAAUGGAUAUUUAUUUUCCCUGUGAGGCACUUAUGUUCUCUUUGGGACACUUGAAGAAUAUGUUCAGUUGUGACAUGGAGCUUCAUAAUUUAUGAAGUCUAACGUAUACCCAAAUCAUAAAGGUCAUUAAUUGAAAGUUUAGCAGUUCAGCAAAAUUUGUGAAUUUGUUUACUGUUCUCUCCCUAUUUUACUCAUUUGAAAAAAAAAAACCAAACCAAUUGAUAAGUGUAUUUUUACUAGUUGCUUUCGCUUGAAUUUGUUUUAGAAGUCUGUAAGGUGUUAGAUAAACACAAGCACUUGAAAAUACUUACUCUCCUAUUCUAUAGUUUAUCUCUUCGUUUUCCCAGUGGACCAAUGCAACUUCGUAUGGCUGAAUUUCAUGCUGUUCCAGCACUCGCAUUAUAUUCUUCAUCUAAGAAAAAGACAAUGCACAUAAGUAUAUAUAUAUAUGUAUGUAAUAUAUUUAUUAUGUAUAUAUAAAAAUAUUAUGUAUAUAUAAUGCACAUAAUAUAUUACUACUGUAAUAUAUUAUCACUCUACGAAGAGCUAGCAUGUAAAUACAUCGAUGAAGGCAACUUUCCUGCUUAUUAAUGUUAUUCACAUAAAAAGGAGUAGGUGUGCUAGUAACUUUUUUGUAUCCGAAGAAAGCAGUGAUUACCACAGUCUAUUUUGGAAGCUAUGUGCAAGAAUUUUGUGUCAUUGAACAACUGCAAAGGAUCUGUGAAAAUGUCAUUCAAUGCCUGCAUUUAUAAAACAAAGUAAGGAUUAACCACAGCAGCAGUAAAGACUGACAAUGCCAGAAUUAACUGUCGAUCCAUAAUGCAGCAUGCCAGAUUUCAAGGGUGUAUACACUUGGAUCCUGACAGCCUAGUUGGCAUUGUGGAGUCAUGAUCAAUAUAGUAAUAGUUAUACUGUUAACAAAUGAAGACUCUUUUCCUAAACUACUUCCAGCUCAGAGUAAGAUUUAACGAAGGUUUACAGACCAUAACCGACUGUGUGAAAUUCAUGUGCCUUGUCAUAUGCAUACUUGCAAAGUUCUGCCAUUCAUCUGGAUAACAGGAAAUGAUGUUUCAGUGGCAGCUUUCUUUUAAAGUGAUACAAAAGCUUUCAUUUAUUCCCGGCCCAGCCUAACUUUAUGGAAGGAACUACCUGUCACACAGUACAUUUAAUGAGAAGAGAUCUUUUGGAUUCAUUAAGUGCAAACUCUCGCAAUUAGAGGAGACUGCAUCACAGAAUCACCUUCUAACAAAACUGAUGCACUCCACUUUGAAGCUAGUUUAUUUUAUUUUUUUUUGCCCUCACUACUUCUGGUGGUUGUAUGGGAAUUGCUAAGUCAUGGCCUGAACCAAUGACUGAGCACCUGUUGUAGGGACACAGCCAACCCUGGGAGCACAGGUGGAACCGGGUUUCACCCCUCCCAAAGCCUCAUUUAAGGGUUGGCUGCCACCAGGGAAAGGUCUCUACCUGGAGAUCCCUUUCUCUGGAGUAUUUGGUGAGCCCUAAUCCUUAGGACAGGUAAGCACAUGUUUCUUUCUCUAACUGGAUUGUGACCAUCACCCUUUUUUUGGGGGGGGUAAUUUAGAACUGGUUAUCUGUUAUUAUCUUUCCCUCCAGUGGGGAGGAUAUUGCACAACCUUACUGCUGAGGUAUCUGAAAAAAGUAUUUUACAAUUUCAAAUCCCAGUGACAAUCAGCCUGCGGUUAUUGCUACUUCUGUUAAGUGUCCAUUAGCUUAAUAUAGUUUUUCCUCCCCUAGUGUUGGUUCUGGAAUACUUUCUAAGAGCAGUUUUGUCUGUUCACAGCAAGUCCCUACACACCAUUUUACUGAAUUACUUUCAGUUUCUGUUCAAUAGGCCUUUUUUGCCUUGUUUCAGUUCAUUGAAACUCAUGCAUAAAAAAAUACUGCCCUGUAUUUGAGCAAGGGUUUUGAAAACUAACACUCUGACUAUAGCUUCAAAAUACAGAAAAAGGCAGUUUUCCUCUUUUAUAAAUAAAACUAACAAAAACACCAACUAAAGUUGCUCCUGACAGAAAGAGUUUGUCAAGUUUUCUAUGGUACUUAUGCAUGUAAAAACAUAGGUGAAAAUCAGACUUUUCAGAGGGCAGAGGAGCCCAAUUCAUGAAAAUCAACAGGGUGUAGUCAGCUAGCCUUCAGCAACACCCAUGAGUCAGUAGCACAGUUACUGCCAUAGCACCCUGCAGGGUUUGAAGGGAGGGCAGUGUCUUUGUAGGCUAGCUGAGGUAACCCUCCAAAAUAAGACAGAAAAUCAGGAGCGUUUCAGGUCUGAUACAGAAAAAGCAAACCUGAAUGCAGAAGUAGUUCACAUCUGGCAGCAACUACUCCGUGUUUUCAUUUACAUCAGUGAAAAUCUGUCUAUGAACUGCCCAUCUCAGUAUCACCUGUUUAACGCACCAAUUAGUUUCGCAUACCCUGCCUACACAGAAGAUCGAUGCCUUUAUCUAUCUAGAGCUCACAUUUAUUUAAUCACAGUAAAAAAAGUAUUUUUAAAUAACUAGAAAUAUUUCCCUAAAAAUAAAUAUGCCUGCAGCAUACCCCUCUUAGUGAGCAAAUAAUAUCAAAUUAUCAUAAGGGAUGCAUUACUUCAGUAUUGCUAUUUUUUAGCGAUUAUACCAACCAAUAAAAACCUUCCUUCAGGGAAAAUUGCUCACUGGUAAAAACAUAAAACAAUGUAAAAAGCAACUGUUUCCAAAUCCUGCCCCUUGCGAGUCAUCCAAAUGUAAGUUUUGACUCUAGAGUGAUCCUUUACUUCUCAUUUAUUUUCCUUUGCAUUCAUUUCUUUUAAAUAACCAUUCAUGUGUUGAUUAUUCUGAUUUUCCUUUUUCAGUGUAUAUUGCUGUGGGGGGGGGGGGGGAACUUUCUGUCAAUCUCAUGAGAUUAAGGUUUCAGGUUUUUAGACUUGAGAGAUUUCACCCCCUUUGUAUGUUACACAUCUAUUUGCUCAUUUUGCGCAGAAAGACAGGCUUAAAAGGUCACGUAUAGGUGAUGUAUCAGGAACCCACACACUUGAGGGCAGCAGCAGGCCAGCAGCCGCACUCCUCAUAGAAGAAUCAGUCCUUUUCCUUCCUGGAGAGAUCCAAGUUCUCAGAAAAAAACCAAAGCACAAUGGGCUUUGUGGGACUGACAAGACAUCUGCUGAUGAAGUUUUAACAAAUGGUUUUUUUCUUUACUUACACUUUUUUCAUCCACAUUCCAAAACACAACAGCCCCUUCCCUGUGAAUUCAAGGAAAAACUGAGGUGUAAUUACGUUAUUUUAAAUGUACUUUAAUGCAAUACUCAAAUUGUAUGGUGGCAACUCUUGAUACUGUGAAUUAAGGAAUUUAAUACUAAUGCACAGAGACUAAGCAGUAGUUGCUUUUUAACCAUACUUUAGUGUAAAACAUUAAAAUGUUUGGUUUUUUCUGUGUAAAUAUGAUUUUUUUAAAUUAUAAAUCAUUUAGAUUGGACAGUUAUUCCUUGAGCUUCAUGAGGUGGUACGGAUGCAAUGAUUUAGUAAGCUGCACUGCAUUUGCAGGACUGCUAUUCAUAAAAUAACAUCACAGACAUAGUUUAUAACUUACCUGAAGAAAAAAACCAUGCCAGGAUCAUCUUCUUUUGCAGACUUCUCAGUACCCAUCACCAGAACGUUUGCAGCAUCUAAUUUGAAAUAGAAGAACAAACCAAAGUUCAAAAUGCAGGAUUAUUUAAACUUCGGAAUGCAAUAGCUACAAGCACGAUUUCAGUUCGAAGUCAGUCCUGUAUCUUAUUUUUCUGAUUAAAAAGCUAUAAUAUAAAGCUACACAGCUUCUCUGAAGCAUCACACUUUAGAUAGACUCAGCUAUGAUGUUGAUCUUCACUGGAAACUGUAGUUAAUGAAAUACAGUUGUUCUUAAAGAACAAAAGACUUAAGGAAAAACUCAUGCAGGGCGCAGUAAAUAACCAAGAGCAGAAUAGAGAAGGCAGAAGUGGACACGUAGCAUGGAAUGAUGGAAUUAAGCUCACAGUUGCUGAGUAAUUACCAACAUCUUUCUCUUUUUAAUUUAGCAAGGGACUGAUCUGCACUCAAAUUUUGCUGAUAGUGCUUUGAUAGAAACCUGAAAAGCAUACCCACAAGACAGCAGAAGUUACAUCUGUGUUCUCCUUCGGAUCAAAGCAUGCUUUUCAAACAAAUCUAGUUGCUCUCAUUUACCACACUUUCGAUUUGCAUUGCAGAAGUGUCAGAAUGCACGAACUGUAUCUAUUUUGCAUGAAAUUAAACUGAAAAAUGAAUUCCAGCCACUAACAGGAGUUCAUUACAGACCAGACUCAAGCUACUCUAUGCAGAAUGCCUCCAGUGUGGAUCCUGACUUCUCAAACCAGUCUUUUCUCCUGCAUCCUACAUAUCUGCUUUGCUGUACUACUUUGCUAAUGCGGACAUUGCUGCACUGGGGCCAGGCAGACUAAGGUGACAGGAAGAGAUGUCUAAAUAAGUAUAGGAUGCGCUUCUGCUAAUAACUGAAUUGAGACCGUGCAGAUGACCUGUAUGAACUCCUUAAAGAUUUCUUUCUCUUGCUAUUCCAGUUCAGGAACAACUGAUUUGAUGAAUCACCAGGGCAGGUUCUGGGUGUGAAGCUGGAGUUCACCACAGAAGAAACAUUUGUCUGAACUUGCUUACUUGCCUUUUCAAGUAUUGCCCUUACUUAAUCUUUCUUUAUCCUCUCCAGAUAAAAUAUAUAUGGUGGAUGUCCAUUUGGUCCCUUAUAAGGAGGGCUACAGUAUGAACCUCUAAAAUAUUUUUAAAGUGGUCAAAAAAGAAUGAUAUUAGGAAGGACACUACAAAGCAACGCAUCCAUAUUAAUUGCUAAUUUAGAUUUCUAUGUGUUAGUAUUUUUCAGAUGUAAGAUACAACUUCUGACUGGGUAACUUAGCCUCGUUAGAUCUAUCAUCCCAACCACCACAAAGUUUGCUGUCACAAUCAAACUUUCAUCACUUCCUGAACACUUUUGACAGAGUAUCUAUUGUAAGGAGUCAAAAACACACUGUAAAGAAAUGAAAGAAUUGGCAAAAACCACACUCCCAGGGUAAAAUGCCAGCAACAGCAAUGAAUGCAUCACAGCAAUUUGGAAUAAUUCUAUCCUGAAGCACUAAAAGGAGUGUUCUUUUUAAUACAGUGGAACUAUGAAGGAACAUGGAGCCUAUACUACACAAUGCCUUCUUUCUGAGAAAGACAACCAUUACUCAAGCAAUCUUCAUAAAGAUCCACUGGAGUACUGUCACGCUUGGUAUCUUAAGAGAGGCAGCCAGACACUUGAUAACCUCUUAUGAAAUGUCCAUGAACAAUAUCUUUUGCUUUGCAUAAUCUGUUUAUUCACAAAAAAUAAUAAAUCUACUGCUAACAUAUGAAAAUCACAGCUGUUCUAGGGCUAGAGGGUCUUUAAGCUAUAAAAAGCUCCAUUUGUUUUUCUCUUGUUGUGUGCUUCGCCUAUUUCCAUGCCAUACCUUCCCAAGUCUUCAGAGAUACUUUGUAUAGAUCCGGAACCAAUUACUGCUGAAGGGAACUAUUCAACAGUUACUAGGCUAUAUUUUGCCCAAUAUAAAGUAUCAGCUACAUUCUCUUUACCAGAACUAAAUAUCUAUAUGUGUAUCUUCUACAUUGCAUGUAGUCAGCAAGACUCUCUCUCAUGUGCCUCCAACCCUCAGCAACUUACAUUAAUAGAAAUGUGGGUAUGGAAAGAAGGUGCAACACUUCAAAUUACAAAACUGUUGACAGCUGAAGCACUGUGGUAUCACAUUACUGAAGCACUGAUUAAAAUAAGCCUUCAGAAAAGUUUCAGUUAGUGAAUUUCUAUGAAAGAAGAGUUUCUAUUAGAAAAUUUCAUUUAUGUUUUGAAUGCAUUCCCAAGGCUAUCUGAUUUUUUUUGAUUCUUUUAGUAUAAUAGUAAUUUAGGGAAAAAAUAUUAUAUGGUAACAGCAAUUCACUUUAAUUUGUAUUUUAUUUGAAGCAAAUGGAAUUUUAAAUACAGCUAUAUUUAUACAUUCCAGGGUAUUACCAAAAUGAAAACAUAUGAAGUUAUAAAAAUUAAAUAUCUCACCCAUAUUUCAUUUCCCAAGAUAUAAAACCAUUUUUAAGAUGUUUUAAAAAUCUACCUCUGGGCAAACUUGUUAUUUCAACAUAUCCAUGGGAAGUCAGGUCAUGACACAGAUUACCGAGAUGAUAUUCAUCUGCUGUUGCAAAGGCUGUGCACUGCAUCAGAUUCUGUGCCAAAGGAAUAAAGAAUUGAGUUAGGGAAAGGCUGAAGCAAGACGUACGUAAGACAUGCUCGUGUUUGCCUCAAAGCAAUCACAAGGGUGAUGUUUUUCAUUUAUUCACUCUCUUCUACUAUAUCACUGUUCUGCUGUCCGCUUGGUGUACAAAUACUAAUGUGAUUAGUUACUCUCUGUUAAGUGGGAAGCAAACGUAUCCCUCAUUCAUAGACUGAGAUCCAUCUACAUGCCACAAGUAAGUCAUGUCAACAAGCUUCAUGACAGGGCCACGAACGGAGCCCUUCUUUCCUCAAUGGCAGUGAAAUGCUUUAGCAGUACAAUCACACUUGCUCACCCUUCUCACAGCCUAUGACAUACGUGGCUGACCAGCAAAAUCAAAAGCAAGGCGCCCCAAAUACCAGCCUACAGCUCUCUGAAGAUGCACAGAGUUAAACUAUCCCAGCCUGCUUAGCAAACAUAAGCUCCAGCUGCAAAUACUGCGUUCUGAGCGCUGAGCUCACUGCCCAGGUAACUCCUGGAACCUAAACCAUCACAGCACUGCAGCACAGCAAGUCACAGACCUUCAGUGCCAGCCCAAACGCUGCACGUCAUCAGUAUUCCCCUCCAAGUGAAAUCUCGCGCUGACAGUGCGGUCUCAAUUGAAAUCACAGCUGAGCGGUAUACAACAGCCGGAGUUUGUCUCCGUGUUCCACAAUCUUAUGUACAUAAAAUGCCACACUGAAACAAAUAACUGGCACCAUGCAAGAUGAGGAAAAGUGAUACUGACUCUCAAAAAGAUCAACUCGUGCAUGGAAGAGAAAUCAAACAUCUGUGUAAAAGCUUUCCUGAUGAAUUCAGCAAGGCGUAAUAAACCGGUCUACAAAACCUACUCCCCACUUUAAGUACAUUUCUUUGUUCCGAUACCUCAUAUAUCCCAUUAUAAUGCUUUUCAGUACAGUGUAAUGGAAGAUAUCCAGAAAGCAAUGCUUCUCAGUGCAGAUCAGUCGCUUUCCAGCUUUUUUUGUAGCUAACACAAAGGGGGGAUGUGCCUAACAACAAAUGUACAGAAGAGCUGUACUCAUCUGCAAGUGCUUACACCCACAAUAUGCUCCAACUUAAAAUCCAAAUGAUAUUCUCACGGCACUCAUACGCUGUCAAACUGCAACACCUGAAAAGGUGCUCUGCUCCUUAAGGAGGCCCAGAGGCAGUAAGCUGGAUCAGGGCCCACAUUUAAACUUCUUUCGUUUUCUUAACAUCAACGUUCUGUUGUCAUUCCCAAAGUUUUGGGAAUCACAUUUUCACAUCACUUUCUCUCAGUGACCACUAACAGAGAGCAGUUACAAUACUCAGAGAGCAGUUCUGUAGACGUGUUCCCACGACUGUGCCAGUAACACAGUUAACUGCUGGUAACCGUGGAACAGCACUGUAUUUUCAGCUCCCUUGCUGCAGUACCUUUGAAAAGUUGCAUUCUUACAGUAUCAUCUGUACAAAUCCAUUCCCAGCAUCUGAACUGCCAGUGCAAAUUACACAUUUUAGAUUCUUCUGGAAAGCUCUGGUUCAUGUAAGCACACACACGCUGCCAUGAAAUCCUUCAGGAAGCACACCGUUAUCUUCCAGCUGUAUAUCAUCUGAAAAUCCGUACCCUGCUCUAUACUUUCUGCAGUUAAAGUUGUUAUUGUUCACUUCAAGGUAGAUGCACUACAGGACAGACUGUUUAAUUUACAGCUGUGAUUUUAGUUUCCACGCGAAGACUUUAAUUAGCACCAGAAGUUGGCUGCCAAGAAGAUGUGCCUGAAAUAGCAGUCUGGAUAUGUAGCUUGGCGAUGGUUCUUUUUUUUUUUUCUUUUUAAACAAUGCACUGUUUCACCUUUGCUAAAAUAUUGUUCAGUGAGGGACUUUCAGCAUGGGUGUAGAGUUUAAGACACCUAUAAUUUACGUGUCCACAGGCAUUCUAGAUGCUCAGGCUUCCAUGGUAGUUGAUGGAGAUGUAACACAGAAGUCUCUAGUCAGCUCAUCUGAAAAUACCUGUGUUAACUGGCUGGUAAACCUUCAUCCCACACUGUCUGUUACAUCACCUUCACCUGCAAGCUUGCCUAAAAUAAAGGCAGCUCUGUCCUGCUGACAGCAACUCCAGUCACUUGCCACCUCUCCUUCCUGACUGCACCUGGGUUCAUUAAGAUUCAGUUCAGAGCUCCAAAGCAACCAUCAGAUCAGCCAUUCUAAGUACUCGUUUUCUGUAUCAUCAACCCCACAGCAACUGCACAGGAACUAUCAUUCUCAUAGCUCAUCCCUUGCAUUUUGAGAAUGCAAACAUUUUUAAGUAAGAAAACCUAUAAAAUGAACUUAAACUUCACAUCACCACAGGCAUCCAUCUCUAUCUCAAGGAUAGCUGCUACUGCAUUUUUAACUGAUUUUCAAGCUUUGUCAAGGCAACAGCAUUAAAAAUCAGCUUAAAGGCUUCUCAUGUCUUGUGAGACCUUGUGAGAUGAGUAACUAAUCCGAGUAGUAGUGACAGUAUGCACCAAUGCAUGACUAACCAAAUGAAUGACUAACCAAACCAGUUAUCACGUUAGAGUAACCCCUCCAUCUAUCCUGAAAAGCUGGUCUGAUGAUCAUUUAUUACUGCUGGUGCUCAGCAUUCCAUCUGCAGACAGCAGCUGAAGAUGAGUGCUUAGAAGGAGCCUAUCCAUGGAACGUUCUGCAAAAGGAAGUUGUUAAUGAGCCCAUCAAACAGAAAACAUCAGAGACUUCAGGGUUCACCUAACUGAAAACCCACGUGAGUCUACAGCAUGUCUCCAGGGGCAGACUGUGAAGGAAGACAACAGUCAACUCUAAGCUGCAUUGGAAACAUGGCUUAUGUUACCGGAGGGUUCUUGGUUACUUCAGAACAAGCAGAGAAAGACAAGAUCAGCUUUUUUGUGACACCAGGAUUUAGAGGAAAAUGACAGCAUGGUGAAAAAAACAUACAUCAAGGAUUCUCCAUUUGCUGCACCUGUGUCAGUCACCUUACAGAAAACAGUCUCAUCUUUCAGUUAGCUCCCUACAUUACAAAUCUACAAGGGACUAUACAAAUAGGUUCCAAAAAAAGAAGAAAAAAAGCAGCUUAUUCCAAAAUGCUGUCAGCCUGCACAGGGUCAGGGUGACAGCCUGGCAGUACCCCUGUAGAUGGAGGUGUAUGUUUGACAAAACCACACACUGUUUAUUUAAAAAUAGAGAAUGGUUUGUUAGGUCCUAGUUUACAUCAUUUCUGGCACGCCGUUUUGCAGUGUGGGAUCUUCCCCAGAAAUGAUAUUUCAGUCUAUCAGGCAGAAUGUUUUCAAUUUCUUCAAAAUGGAAGAAAGUAAAAAUAGCAGCGCGUAUUACUUGCAAGCACACACAUGAAACUAUAAAACAAAGAAACUUAGCAUCUCAUACUGCCAUGCAGAAACCUCAGGAAUCUAAAAAAAGUCACUUAAAUCCACCCAACGACAACCUCUGAAUAUGUCAUAGCAUAAACAGAAAGCUUGGAACAGUAUGUGGUACGUUAAGACAGAGUUCUACAUCUUCUUCUUUCAAAGCAACAGGAAAAUUCAAGUGGGAAAUGAAUUUUCUACAAUGGAGCCUUGGUGGUACAUUAUAUCAUACUCCUCUUAGUCAUAUGAGAUAUUAAACAGGAGCUUAUAUGCCUGGAAGGCAAUCAUUAAGACCUCACUUUCUGUGCUCACAUUCAGCAGACCAUGUAAUAGGCAUAUUUUGCAAUAUGCAAUCUAUUUAUAGAAGCACAAUACUUGUCUCAGUCUCAUCUAUAGUACUAUUUUGUUAGCAACACCCUGGAACUCAGUUGUUAUUGUAGUUUGAGGAGAACAAUAACAUUUCUGACUCCACGACUUUCCUUGGAGAUCUUAUAUUCAAGUAUGCUUGCAGUCUGCUUUGGCUACAAGUAGUGGGGCUCGUAAAGACCUAUCUCAGGGAGCAACAGCUACAAGUAUGCACUGUUCCAGUUACUCAUCCUGUAUAUCUGAUUUUAUCCACAAGAGUUUGUUGUGGCAGUUAAUCUGUAGACCCAGGAGUCUGGUGAUCCAGGUGCUAUUUCUACACAUGGAAUAAUCUUGCUCAAGUUACACAGGCUACAUCUGCAGCUCAGUUCUUCUACUGAUAGCACAGAAAUAACUUUCUAUUUUUCUG
RNAcentral lists this long non-coding RNA (24834 nucleotides) under Gallus gallus (chicken). Lineage: Eukaryota; Metazoa; Chordata; Aves; Galliformes; Phasianidae. The record is from RNAcentral.